GAGGGGCAGCGGGGCGGCAGGCUUGCCUGCCGUUGCCGGCGACCGGCGCACGGGUGAGUAACACGUAUGCAACCUGCCCGUGGCAGGGGGAUAAGCGGGGGAAACCCCGUCUAAUACCGCGUAACGCGGCCUUGGGGCAUCCCCGGGCCGCCAAAGGGAGCAAUCCCGGCCACGGAUGGGCAUGCGGCGCAUUAGCUAGUCGGCGGGGUAACGGCCCACCGAGGCGACGAUGCGUAGGGGUUCUGAGAGGAAGGCCCCCCACACUGGUACUGAGACACGGACCAGACUCCUACGGGAGGCAGCAGUGAGGAAUAUUGGUCAAUGGGCGCGAGCCUGAACCAGCCAAGUCGCGUGAGGGAAGACGGCCCUACGGGUUGUAAACCUCUUUUGCCGGGGAGCAACGGGCGCCACGUGUGGCGCCACUGAAAAUACCCGGAGAAAAAGCAUCGGCUAACUCCGUGCCAGCAGCCGCGGUAAUACGGAGGAGGCGAGCGGUUAUCCGGAUUUCUUGGGUUUCAAGGGCGCGUAGGCGGAGCGNNAAGCCAGNGGNCAAANAGAGGGGCUCAACCCCNCCCCGCCACCCAAACCGGCGCUCCCGAGCGGAAGAGAAGCACGCGGAACGCGCGGAGNAGCGGNGAAANGCANAGACAUCACGAGAAACCCCGANNGCGAAGGCAGCANGCCGGCUUCNNANNGACGNNGAAGCACGAAAGCGAGGGGAUCCCUUAAAGGAAGAGCCCCNGGNNGUCCNCGCGGAANACGAACCCUUAUGAAAUCGGGGGGGAAUGGCCCUGGGGUGCCACAGCGAAAGCGUUAAGCGCUCCACUUUGGGGAGUACGCCGGCAACGGUGAAACUCAAAGGAAUUGACGGGGGCCCGCACAAGCGGAGGAACAUGUGGUUUAAUUCGAUGAUACGCGAGGAACCUUACCCGGGCUCAAACGUUGCAGGAAGGGCUUCUGAAAGGAAGCCCGUCUACGGACCUGCAACGAGGUGCUGCAUGGUUGUCGUCAGCUCGUGCCGUGAGGUGUCGGCUUAAGUGCCAUAACGAGCGCAACCCCUACCGCCAGUUGCCAACAGGCAAAGCUGGGGACUCUGGCGGGACUGCCGGCGCAAGCUGCGAGGAAGGCGGGGAUGACGUCAAAUCAGCACGGCCCUUACGUCCGGGGCGACACACUUGUUACAAUGGCAGGUACAGCGGGAAGCCACCUGGCGACAGGGAGCGGAACCCGAAAGCCUGUCUCAGUUCGGAUUGGAGUCUGCAACCCGACUCCAUGAAGCUGGAUUCGCUAGUAAUCGCGCAUCAG
Molecule: ribosomal RNA, 1305 nt
Filed under: uncultured bacterium
Lineage: Bacteria
Description: partial 16S ribosomal RNA
Rfam family: Bacterial small subunit ribosomal RNA
Source: RNAcentral